RNAcentral lists this ribosomal RNA (550 nucleotides) under uncultured Sorangiineae bacterium. Its description in RNAcentral is "bacterial SSU rRNA". It matches the Rfam family "Bacterial small subunit ribosomal RNA", at positions 355 to 897 of the family's 1533-position model. The record is from RNAcentral. Lineage: Bacteria; Pseudomonadati; Myxococcota; Myxococcia; Myxococcales.
UGGGGAAUCUUGCGCAAUGGGCGAAAGCCUGACGCAGCGACGCCGCGUGAGUGAUGAAGGCCUUCGGGUUGUAAAGCUCUGUGGAGGGGGACGAAUAAGGGUUGGUCAAUAUCCAACUUGAUGACGGUACCCUUUUAGCAAGCACCGGCUAACUCUGUGCCAGCAGCCGCGGUAAGACAGAGGGUGCAAACGUUGUUCGGAAUUACUGGGCGUAAAGCGCGUGUAGGCUGCUCGGAAAGUCGGAUGUGAAAGCCCUGGGCUCAACCCAGGAAGUGCAUUCGAAACUCCCGAGCUGGAGUCCCGGAGAGGAAGGCGGAAUUCUCGGUGUAGAGGUGAAAUUCGUAGAUAUCGAGAGGAACAUCGGUGGCGAAGGCGGCCUUCUGGACGGUGACUGACGCUGAGACGCGAAAGCGUGGGGAGCAAACAGGAUUAGAUACCCUGGUAGUCCACGCCGUAAACGAUGGGUGCUAGGUGUCGCGGGCUUUGACUCCUGCGGUGCCGUAGCUAACGCAUUAAGCACCCCGCCUGGGGAGUACGGCCGCAAGGCUAA